UUUUUUUUUUUUUUAAAUGCCUGGUUUCUUUAUGCUAAAUGGAAAAGAUUUAUGUAUGCAUAACAUUCUGUUACAUUGAUCUGUUGGUGAUUUCUUUUUUCUUUUUGUGGAACUGAAAAAUUUAUUGUCGAAAGCAACAUAAAUUCUAAGAACCUAUCUGAUAAUUCUUUCUUUGUAUACUAAUGUCUUACAGAUUGAUUAAUCCAGUCG
RNAcentral lists this unclassified non-coding RNA (210 nucleotides) under Hevea brasiliensis (rubber tree). Lineage: Eukaryota; Viridiplantae; Streptophyta; Magnoliopsida; Malpighiales; Euphorbiaceae. The record is from RNAcentral.